GGCAGUUCUCGGGUAACGCACCCCAAAAUCGGGCUCCCUCCUCUCUGGUUCUGGGUGCGUCACCGAAAAACCACA
This is a non-coding RNA of Myotis brandtii (Brandt's bat), 75 nucleotides long. The record is from Rfam. NCBI's taxonomy places the organism in Eukaryota, Metazoa, Chordata, Mammalia, Chiroptera, Vespertilionidae.